CUUGCUUAAUUGUUGUAAAUGGUCCUCCAUUUGUCUGAUCUGUAAAUCACGAGAACGAACCUCGGCCACGAGAUUGUUUACUGUUGCAGUAACACAAUCUUUGUCUGUCAUAAGCAUAUCAUAUUUCAAUUUCAUUUUGUCAAGGUUCUUAUUCAAAGCGUCUAUGUGUAUACCUUUCUCAUUAAGUUCUGUCUUCAAUUGAUUGAUCUGACCUUAUAAGUUUGUUUCUUGUACAACAAGCAAGCUUUCGAUUUCCCAUUUUUUGGUCUCACGUUGCCUUAUUUUUUCCUCCAAUACACUUCCAAGCAGGGAAAGAGCUAUCGAGGGCGGAACUUGAAGGUGUUCUGGUUUUUGUUGAACCUUUUUUGUUUCAUGCCAAUGGGACCUUAUCCAAUUGGCAAUGGUGGGAAAACAAAGUUUGCCAUUUUGAUCCAUUUGUAAAGGCAAGUCACUUGGCAGUGGGGGUUUCGCAGUUGAGUGGCAAGGGCUACAGAACUUUUAUUUAUAGUUGAGCUCCGUAGAUUCAACAAUACAACAAUAUUAAAUUUUAUAUUUAUGGAACUUUAAAAUCAUGUAGUAGUUUAUUUAUGUUGAAAAUUUGAGAGUUAAUGAUAUUUGUGAAAAUUGUCAUUGUUGAGAAAUUUAGAUUCUUGGUGUUAUUUUGUUGGGUUGAAGUUAUUGAUGUUAGAUGUAUGUAUGUGUGUGUUGUAUGGUAGAUAUUGUAUAUGGUUGAUAUUUUAAGUUCUAUGGAAUCUGGCUCUUUUUGAAGUAAAUGAUUGAGGUCAAUUUGUUGAGUUGAAAUAUGUAGGAUAUGGCAUUUGAAUUUUAUGAUUCCUAUUUGUGGAGCAAGAUAAAUGUAUGAUUUGGUUAAGGUUGCUUGCCUUUGUAUGUGAUGUUUGAAAUGUGGUGCUAAUGAGGGCUAUGUUGGUUAGGUUCUUAUAUUGUAUGAAAUUGAAAUGUUUUGACUUGUUUUGAGGUGUAUUUGAUGACAUUUUUAGAGUGGUUAUAGGCUUGGUUUGGUAGCCAAGAUAGGUUUGAAAUUUGCCUUGUUUUGGAAGCAAAAAUUGGUGCACAUGGUCAGGGAUACAGGCUAUACAUGGUCUACCCUCGGUCCCAUACGGCCGUGUGUCCUAAUGAUUUUAGGUGCAGGGCACACACGGUCUAAGACACAACCAGCGACAUGGUCGUGUGACCCAAAAACAAAUACACACACGGGCAGUCACACGGCCAUGUGACCUUAAUUUGAAUAUACACAUGGGUGGGCAGACAGUCGUGUAUCUCGACUUUGAAUGUCCACACAGUCUAGGCUAUUACACACGGCCAUGUGUCCCUUGUUUUAAAAAUUUUCAUCUUUUUUCCUAACUUUUCCGUUUUGUUCCAAAUUGACCCUAGAAUGUUUCUAAUUUACUUUUAGGGCUCCGUAAACUCAGUUUAAGGCCUGUAAAUGUAUGUUUAUUGUGAAUUGAUUGUGAUUUGAUUAAUUGUAAUUAUAUUGAAUAAUUGUUUUUAAGUAGUGUUAAAUGUUUGAAAUGUUAUAGUAAUACUCCAUGACUUUAAUUCAGCGACAGACACUGGUUCAGGGCGUUAAGUUUAAAUUAUCUUUUAUAAAUUUUAUAUAAAUGCAUGAAAAAUACAAAAAGAAACACUCUAUAAUAAUAUUUAUUAAUCAUUAAAACUUAGUUUUUUAAUAUACUUUUCUUGAUCGAGUUAGUGUCGAGCUAACUCAUGAUACUGUCUAAAUUCAUGACGCCAAUUCAAUCAUACACUUAAAUAAUAGUAAAAAUGUUAUUAUUUAUGAAAAGAUCAAAAUAUCAAUGUUGAAUCCCAAAAUGAAAUCAGCAAUUAAGAUUUGAAAUAUAAGUAGAGAUGGUAAUGGAGUGGGGCAGAAUGGUUUUUUGUCCACCUGAACCGAUAUACCUCUAACAUAAUCCGACUUUGAUCCAACUCAAAAUUAAAUAUUAAUUUACUUAUCUUGAACCUUACUCGAAAAAUUAAAGUUAUACCCUAUUUCGAUCAAUAUACCAAUACUUUUAAUUGUUUUUAUAUGUUUUUAUUAAAAUAGAAUAAUAGUUUUAAAGUUUUUAACGACAACAUUACUUUUUUUUUGUAGUUAUAGUUAUGGUAGGGAAAAUAUUUUUAUAAUUAUCAUAUAUUAUAAUCUAAUAUUAUAUAUAAAUGUUUAUUUUGGUAAUUACGGGGCAAAUUUUUCUAAAUCGGAGAAAGAAUUAUAUGAAAUUGUGAUUCCACGUUAUCUGUAUCAUUUUCUAAUACGAAAAUGACAAAUCAGAAUUUAAGAUUUAAUCCAUGUACUUUAAAAGUUAAAAUUUCAAUUAUCCUACUUCUACGAUUUAAAAAUUCUAGUCCAAUUAUUAUUAUUUGUAAUUUUUUUGUCAAAAAAAUCAACUUAACAUCAUAUGAAAUGUUAUAUGAUGGCAGUCUAAUCAGCAUGCCAAAUUGGAAGAUUUUGAUGGAAAUUAUUAACAAUGUUAAAGAUUAGAAUGAAAAUUUUAAAUCAGAAAAGUAAUAUGACUAAAUUUUAAAUUUUAUCUAAGCCAAAGGGACUAGCAACAUAUUUUCACAAAAGAAAUUGAUAGACUAAUUAAUUUAGGUUUUAGACUAAGCAAAAUUGUCAUUUCCAACUAUAUUCAACUUGUAUAAAUACGGAAGCUAAUAACUUUUCAUGGAAUCUAAGGACAAAAAAUAAUUAACAUACUGCAUGUAAGAAAAAGAAGAAAUAAGCAAAUCAUAUAAAUUUUAUUAUCAUAUAUUUACAGUUCAAACCUCACAAUUUUCAGCCUUAAAACAUUACAUUGAUUAAACAUACAAUUAAAAAGUAUCAAGCUUUAAGAACAACCACACUUUUUUUUUUGGUGAAACUGAAGCCUCAAUUUUCAGCACCUACCACGGAUGGUUGAUUUUCUGCAUUCCCAAUAAGCAAUAUACUUGCAUCCUAGUUCUGCACAUUCAAUAAAAAUAUAUUUACAAGGCUUACUACAUUCAACACAUUCAGGAUAGUAAGGAAAGUUCUUGACAAAGUGAGAGGGUGUGGAUGGUCUCCCUCAUUGUAGGUGCUCCCGAGUUUGAUGAAUGGAUAUUUUCUAAGAACGCAAUCUACAUGAGCAGAAGUGUCACAAGUUUCACAAUGAUAAAACCAAUUCUUUGAAUCCCUUUUUUUCCUCACAAAUGUCACAAUAAUGAUAUUUUGUAUAAUCAUUAAUCUUGUGAUAAGUGAGGUUAAGAGGAUGAUCAUCGCAAUUGUGUCCGAUUCUAGUUGGUCGCAUAACACAAUGAAGGCAUAAACCAAAGUUACAAUCUUUACAACCAUAUGUGUUACUGAGAUCCGUCCCACAACCACUACACUGCUCCUCGAAAUGAUAAUAAUCAUAAUAGAAAAGAAGAGGGUGUUUAUGCCCUGGAAUUUUUAGAUCUUAUUGGAGAGUUGCACACCGAACGCACGUGUGAAUUCCACAUUCAUUACAUUUAUAAGAAAAUCCAUUAGAAAGGUAGCUGCAUUGAUCAGAUUCGAACAUGCAGUCUGAAGUAAGGAUGAAGGGUUUUGAUCCAGAAAAAAUAGAUGCAUAUAGUCUAUACCUUUUUUUCUUGGUAAAAAAAGGUCAUUGCGGUCCCAAUCAGAUAUACCUUUCUUUAUUGGGAUAAUAUAGUUUUUGGCCCUUAAACUUAAUAAUUAAAUUUUCUUUGAUACUUGUAUUUUUUUUACUUUCGUCUUUGAAUUUGAUAACUAAAUUCAUUUUGAUCCUUAAACUUGGUACUGGAGCAUUUUAUGAAUUUUAAUUAUUUAUUAAAUUAUUAUUGGUCCAACAGUUGUACUGAUCGAAUUGAGAAUCGGUGAUCUCGGUUAUUAAAACACUAAAUUUGACACUCUUAAAAUUAAUGUGUAGUUAAAUUUUAUUUUGACCCCCAAAAUGAAAAAAAAAUCAUUUCAGUCCUUUUAUAAAUAAAGAAAUUAUAAAUCAAUAUAUAGUAAAAUUUCUCUUUAGCCCCCUAAAAAUGAAAAAAAUUAUGUUUAAUUGCUUAAAAAUCAUGAAAUUAUAAAUUAAUACAUAAUAAACUUAUUUUUUAUCUAUGAAAAAAUUGUAAUUAAUUUCGCCCCUUGUUAAAAAAAUUUCUAGAUUCGCCCCUGCCAAAGUGAAUGUUUAGGGGUCAAAAAUUAUAUUAUCCCUUCUUUAUCUUUCAUUUUUAUUUUCCAUUUUUUUUUACAAUUUUUGGUAUUUAAUUAAGAGAAAAUUGGCCCUCAUUUUCAUCUCUUAUCUCAAGGUAUUCACGGUUAAAAAUUAAGAGAAUUAAGAGAAUUUUUGAGAGGUUAAAGCUAAAAUUCUUGCAUUAAAAUAAAUAUUAAACUUUUGAAAGGAUCAAAAAUGAAAAACUUUCAUUUAACAAAAACAAUUUAAAAAGAAUUAAAUUGAAUUUUUAAUAUUUUAGAAAGACUAAAAUUAAAUUGUAUCAUUUAAUCAAGGUUCAUAUUCUUCUUAUAAACCAACCCUUUAUUUAUUGAAAUAUAUAUUUGUUUCUCUGAAAAUAUUUCAUAAAAAAUCUUGUGAAACAAAUGGAUUGUAAACAUUUUUUUUAUAUCUAACUAUAUCCAACUUAUAUAAAUAUGGAAGGUAGCACAUAAGGACUAAUUAUUCAUGGAAUCUAAGGAUUUUUAUGAUUUUAGUUAGCAUGCAACAAAUUUAAUAUAUGAAAAUUAAAGAAGAUAUAAGUAAAUCAUAUCAAUUUUAUUCUCAUAAAUUUACAAUUCAAAUCUAAAUACAUUAUAUUGUUUAAACACAUAAUUAAUAAGUAGCAACCAUUAACAACAACCACACACUAUCUUAUUCUGAAAUUGAAGUCGCAAUUUUCAGUAUUUACCACCGAUAUCUGCAUUUCCAAUGAGCAAUAUAGUUACAUCCUAGUUCUGCACAUUCAAGAGAAAGAUCUUCACAGGGCUCACCACAUUUAGCACAUUCAGGAUAGUAAUGAAUCUUCUUGACAAAAGUGAGAGGGUGUUCAUGGUUUCCCUCAUUGUAGGUGCUCCCGAGUCUGAUGAAUGAGACAUAUAAUUAAAGUAACCAUAUAAUUAGACGUGAAUGAGACAUCUUUAUUAUAGGAAUGAUCCACAUUCAUUGUCCUGCAGUACAAACUGAAUCUACAAGCUAAUGAUAGAAACAUAAACCAAAAUAUAUAGUACAUUGUUUGAUUAAAAUUGAAAACAUGGUUCAUAUUUGUCCAUUGCAAUGUUCAGAUGUUCAAUAACAUGCAAAAGAUAUAUAUAUAGUCUAAUGACAGCUUCAAGUUUAUCUAAGCAAAUACACAUAUAUCACCCAAAACUUCCCACAGAAACUCAAAUUUAAGUACUAAUAAGUUCAUAAAACAAGUUAAACGAAAGACUACAUCAAGGGAAAAAGACAAUCAGGACAUGUAACUAUACCGAUACUCAUAUUUAAUCAAACUCACAAAGCGAUAACCGCGUGUCGUUUGUGCUUGAGGAAUGUCUGAAACUCUUUAUAACCACUCCUGUAAUGGUCCAGACUGAAAGUAAGAUGUCUUAUUACCUUUCUUUUCUCUUCAGACACAUCUAAGAUCAUGCUCCUUUGCUUAUCCACUUCCUUCUCAAGGUCCUUUAUCUUCAAUUUCAACUCAUCUUCUAGAUUCUUUGUUAGCUGCAUAUGUUCCUUGCUUAAUUGUUGUAAAUGGUCCUCCAUUUGUCUGAUCUGUAAAUCACGAGAACGAACCUCGGCCACGAGAUUGUUUACUGUUGCAGUAACACAAUCUUUGUCUUUCAUAAGCAUAUCAUAUUUCAAUUUCAUUUUGUCAAGGUUCUUAUUCAAAGCUUCUAUCUGUAUACCUUUCUCAUUAAGUUCUGUCUUCAAUUGAUUGAUCUGACCUUGUAAGUUGGUUUCUUGUACAGCAAGCAAGCUUUCGAUAACUGGUAAUGGCGACACACAAUCAAUGUGAAUAGCCAACUCACAAGGUGAACAACCAUACAAAUAUCCUCUUCCUUGAGUUGCUUGGCAUAUUUUGCAAGCACGCCGUUCACUAUUAAAUUGCAAAACAAGAGGAUGUUUGCGAUGACACGAAUGAUCCAUUUUGAGAGGAAGCUCAGCACACCUCUUAUGCAAUUUAAACCCACAAUCAAGAAAGAAGUAUGUAUACAUUGCUAAUGGUUCCCAGCACACAAAGCACUUACCCAGGUUUCCAUCAUCGUUUUUAGAGGAAAACGAUGGAUCCUCAAGGGCCACAUGCUCAAGCUCUUUCAAAUUUCUUUCAGCAAUAUUAAAUGUAAACAAAGCACAUUUAAUAUGAAAGUCCAAGCCACAAGAGCAAUGGUAAAUGAAUUUCUCACAUGCUUCGUUACAGAAAUCGCAAACGCACCAUGUGUAAGGAGUGUAAGGUGGAUUGUUGAAGUCAACCCCCAUGCAGCAGCCAAGGUGACCAUGCAAGGUGGCCAUGCAGGGAUCGUGCUUUAACAGCAAACCGAAACUGCAUUGUUUCAUUUGGUUACUCAAAUGAAUAUUUUGUAUUUUAGUUUGUUUUGAACUAAGUUGGUAACUGUAUUUUGAUGUAAUUAGGUGCUGAAUGACAAGUUUAGGUAGAAGUUUAUGUUUUCAAUCAAGUUUACCAAGUUACUAGGCAAUUUAGUGGUGUUAGGUAUGUUAUUAGGUGGCAACUUGUUUGUUUUGCUGUUGUUAUCUCAUAUAUGUAUUGGUAUUAUGGCUUGUAAAAAUGUUAAUGAAAAUUCAGCUCAUUUUCAUUCAAUUUCAUCUCUUUCUUUUCUGUUCUCCAUUGCAAAAUUUCUUUCUUCUUCUUCAAUAGUUUAUUCAGCAAGGCUCGACACUUGCUGUGCAAGCAAGCUGAAACCAUCUUGCUAUUACCUCUUGCACCAACAAUUGGUAUCUAGAGCCGUUGUCUUAGUGGACCUGUUGCUUCAAACCAAGGAACCUGAUGGCUUCUUCAGGAUUUUCACCAGCAACCCCACCAGUCUUCAAUGGAGAAAGCUUUCACAUAUGGCUGGUAAAGAUGAAGACUUACCUGCAGGCCUUUGAUCUGUGGAAAGUUGUUAACACAGAUGCUGAGCCAGCACCACUGAGGGCUAAUCCCACAGUAGCUCAGAUCAGACAACAUGCUGAUGAGAGGACCAAAAGGCACAAAGCCAUGUCCUGCAUUCAGAACUGUGUAUCAGAUGUCAUCUUUACCAAAAUUAUGGCCUGUGAGACUCCAAAACAGGCCUGGGACAAGCUUAAGGAGGAGUUUCAAGGCACUGAGAGGACAAGGCAACAACAGCUGUUGAAUUUGAGAAGGGAUUUCGAGAAUCUGAAGAUGAAGGAAGAAGAAACAGUGAAGCAGUAUUCAGAUAGAAUUAUGGCAGUGGUUAACAGUAUAAGGCUCCUAGGUGAGCACUUUGAUGAGGCAAGAAUUGUGGAGAAAGUCCUCUCCACUUUGCCUGAGAAAUAUGAAGCAAAGAUAUCCUCCCUAGAGGACUCAAGAGACCUUGCUAGCAUCUCUUUGACUGAGUUAAUCAACACCUUCUAUGCUCAGGAACAAAAGAGAGCUAGCAGAGCUGAAGAUCACCAAGAAGGUGCAUUUCAAGCCAAGACCAGAGAAGCCUCGAGCACCAAUGCUCAAAGUGGCAAAAAGCCUUGGAAAAGCAGGCCUAAGCCUGAUGCUGCAAGGAGCAAUGACCAGCCCUGCAGAUAUUGCAAGAAGCUAGGCCAUCCAGAAGACAGAUGUUAGUUCAGGCCAGAAGCAGUAUGCCAGCACUGCAAGAAGAAGGGCCAUGUUGAAAGGGUUUGCAAAAAUAGAACCAAGCCAAGGCAGAGCCAAUUUCAACAACCAAAGGUUGAAGCUCGAGUAGCUGAGGACAGUAGUGACCAAGAGGAGCAGGUCUUUGCUGUUUCUUGCUUAACUGCUGAGAAGAAAUCUUCAAAAGGUUGGCUAUUGGACAGUGGUUGCGCUAACCACAUGUCACCAGAUGCCUCCUUGUUUAAAACCUUGGAUAGAGUUGCAAAACCAAGGUCAAGGUUGGAAAUGGCCAGUUUAUAAAGGCUGAAGGAAGAGGAGAGGUGCUGAUAUGUACUCCUACAGGUAACAAGGUCAUACCAAAUGUGCUUUUGGUGCCUGAGAUUGACAGAAACCUUCUCAGCAUAGCCCAAUUGCUUGAGAAAGGUUAUUCUGUUGUAUUCAAGGAUAAACAGUGCCACAUUGCAGAUCUAAGUGGAUCAAGCCUUAUGACAGUCACAAUAACUGAUAAAUGCUUUGAGGUUCAUUGGUCAAAUGACUCAAAGUCAGCAUAUACAGCCUCUAUAGAUGACUCCAAACUCUGGCAUAGAAGGCUUGGACAUGCCAACUUCAGGUCAAUGGGUCGAAUGGCCAGUGAGGGCUUGGCUGAGAACUUCACCAACUCAGUGGAGUAUGAUGAUGUGUGUGAGGUCUGCCAGAUGGGGAAACAGGCAAGAUUGCCAUUUUCUACAAAUGCAGCAUGGAGAGCUACUGAAAGACUGCAGCUGGUGCACUCUGAUGUAUGUGGCCCGAUGAGGACUGAAUCACUCAGCAAAAACAGGUAUUUCAUCCUCUUCAUUGAUGAUUUUACAAGGUUUUGCUGGAUUUUCUUCUUAAAACAUAAGUCUGAGGUAGCUCAAGUGUUUGUGAAGUUUAAAACUGCUGUAGAAACAGAAACAGGUUGCAAGCUGAAAUCGAUAAGGUCAGACAAUGGCACUGAGUACACUUCAGCUCAGUUUCAAGCCAUUUGCAAGGAUGCUGGCAUCAAACACCAGCUUACAAAUGUCUACACACCUCAGCAGAAUGGGGUAUCUGAAAGAAAGAACAGAAGUCUGAUGGACAUGGCUAGGUGCCUGUUGUUUGAGAAGAAACUGCCCAAAGCCAUGUGGGCUGAGGCAAUGAACACUGCUGUUUACCUACAGAACAGACUUCCAACCAAAGCUCUUACUCACAAGACACCUUUUGAGGCAUGGUUUGGUUUCAAACCUUCAUUGGCUCAUCUAAAGGUGUUUGGUUGCUUGUGUUAUACACAGAUACCAACAGUAAAGAGGGAUAAGCUAUCAAAGAGAGCUCAGGCUGGCAUCCUAGUUGGCUAUAGCUUAGUCAAAAAAGGAUAUCGGAUCCUGGACCCCUUGACAAGUAAAAUUCAAGUGAGUAGGGAUGUGAUUUUUGAUGAAAAGGCAUGCUGGAAUUGGGAUAAGAAUUCACCAGAAGCUGAGGUAAAUGAAAUGGUGCCUAACCAAGCUGAACUUGAGCAACUUUGUCCUGAAGUGGACUUUGAUAAUGUGCCUGUAAGAGGCACAAGGCUCUUGGAUGAAAUUUAUGAAAGAGCACCGGUUGCCAAAGUUGAACCUACCUGUUUUGAAGAAGCUGAGACAGAUGAAGGUUGGAAGCAAGCAAUGGCAAAAGAGAUCAGCAUGAUUGAGAAGAAUCAGACUUGGGAACUGGUUGAAAAACCUGUCAACAGAAGGAUCAUUGGAGUAAAAUGGGUUUAUCGAGUCAAGCACAAUGCAGAUGGAAGCUUAAACAAACUGAAAGCUAGACUGGUUGUAAAAGGCUUCAGUCAAAAAUAUGGUUUGGACUACAUGGAAACAUUUGCUCCAGUAGCCAGACUUGAUACAAUCAGAUUACUUGUGGCUCUUGCUGCUCAAAACCAGUGGUCAAUUCACCAGAUGGAUGUAAAGUCUACAUUUCUCAAUGGCUUUCUGGAAGAGGAGAUAUAUAUUGAACAACCUCCAGGUUUUGUAAUGCCUAGUAGAGAACACUUGGUAUACAGGCUCAAAAAGGCCUUGUAUGGCCUAAAACAGGCUCAUAGAGCCUGGUAUGCUCGAAUUGAUUCAUACCUGAUCAGCUUAGGAUUCGAAAGAAGUUCUAGUGAACCAACUCUUUAUGUUAAGAAGAAUCAAGCAGAAACACAGCUUAUUGUGUCUCUUUAUGUGGAUGAUCUCCUUGUGACAGGAGGAGACAAGACUAUGUUAGAAGAUCUCAAAGGAAAAAUGAAGGAGAUGUUCGAGAUGUCAGAUUUGGGGUUGAUGACUUAUUUCCUUGGAAUGGAGAUACAACAAGCUGAUCAAGGGAUCUUUUUGGGACAAAAGGCAUUUGCUUUGAAAGUUUUAUCCAAGUUUUCAAUGCAAAAUUGCAAGCCAACAUGCACACCUAUGGCAGUUGGCAUAAAACUGUUGAGCCAAGAAGAACAUGAGCCUGUCAAUGAAUCAUUUUAUAGGAGCCUUGUUGGUUGUUUGCUGUAUUUAACAGCAACAAGACCUGACAUUCUGUUUGCUGUGAGCAUGCUCUCAAGGUUCAUGCACUGCUGUAACCAGCAACAUUACAAGGCUGGGAAAAGGGUGCUAAGAUACAUCAAAGGUACCUUAAACCAUGGAAUACAGUUUAGAAGGGCUGAAGAGUUGAAACUGAUUGGCUACACUGAUAGCGAUUGGGCUGGUUCAAAGGAUGACAUGAAGAGCACUUCUGGCUAUGCUUUUACACUUGGCUUAGCUAUGAUAUGUUGGAGCUCAAUAAAACAAACAAUGGUGGCUUAAUCGACAGCAGAAGCAGAGUAUGUAGCAGCUGCCAAUGCUGUUAAUCAAGCUAUGUGGCUGAGAAAAAUUUUGAGCGAUUUGAAUCUACAGCAGAAUGAAGCAACUGUGAUACAUUGUGACAACAAGUCAGCAGUUGCUAUUGCUAAAAAUCAUGUCUUCCAUGGCAGGACAAAACAUUUCAACAUUAAACUCCAUGUGAUAAGAGAAAUGGAACAAGCUCGAGAGAUCGAGCUAAUUCAUUGCAGCUUAGAAGGUCAGAUCGCCGAUAUCUUCACAAAAUCACUUGGUACAUCGAGAUUUCUAAACCUAAGGAAGCAACUAGGAGUCUGCUGCAUAGAAGCUGAGGAGGAGUGUUGAAGUCAACUCCCAUGCAGCAGCCAAGGUGACCAUGCAAGGUGGCCAUGCAGGGAUCGUGCUUUAACAGCAAACCGAAACUGCAUUGUUUCAUUUGGUUACUCAAAUGAACAUUUUGUAUUUUAGUUUGUUUUGAACUAAGUUGGUAACUGUAUUUUGAUGUAAUUAGGUGCUGAAUGACAAGUUUAGGUAGAAGUUUAUGUUUUCAAUCAAGUUUACCAAGUUACUAGGCAAUUUAGUGGUGUUAGGUAUGUUAUUAGGUGGCAACUUGUUUGUUUUGCUGUUGUUAUCUCAUAUAUGUAUUGGUAUUAUGGCUUGUAAAAAUGUUAAUGAAAAUUCAGCUCAUUUUCAUUCAAUUUCAUCUCUUUCUUUUCUGUUCUCCAUUGCAAAAUUUCUUUCUUCUUCUUCAAUAGUUUAUUCAGCAAGGCUCGACACUUGCUGUGCAAGCAAGCUGAAACCAUCUUGCUAUUACCUCUUGCACCAACAUGGAUUCUGCAGAAGCAGGAGAGGAUGGUGGCGAUGAAAAGGAUGAUUAAGCUCCAAAGGUGCCUCGGCACAUGUCUUGUGGAGGUAAAACCCACAGCACUCCACACAGCUAAAACAUGGAGCUGACACCUUCUCCCCACACCUUGAGCAAUCAACAACUCCAUUGCCAUUGCCAAGCAACUGCUCUUCAUUUAACAUCAACAGUGGAUGUUGAUGCUCAUAGUUCUUUAGCUCUUCCAUUUCUCCUUCCUCUCCGUCUCUUUCGAUGUGGUAGAGAAAGAAAAAUUGAAAUUGAAUAACUCAAAGAAAGCAGAAAAUUAGAAGGGAGAGGUUCCAAAUGUUUAUUUGUAGGAAUCUCUUUGAACUUGCUAUGGUACUUUGCUUCAACAGUGGGUUGCCUAUACCUAUAUAUGUUUGAUCUUCUUUAUAAUUACUAUGAAUGGGAUGCAAUGGGUUUGAGUGUACUCUAAGUAAAUUAUCAAUUUUUUUCCUUUAUUCUUUGCUUUGUGGAUUAACUAAUUUUGUGGAUUAGAUAACGAAUAUUCUGAUAUUGUUUGUGUGCCAAAAAAAACAAGAUGAUAUGAUGAAAGGUAUUUUUACAGGUUACGAAUUUUUCAACUGAGAAUGAUAUCAAACAAUCAAAUUAUUCUAAAAAAAUUGAAUUAAAUCAUUUAUCUAAUCGAAAAUUAAAAACCUAUUUAAUUUAUUCUGGUGAUUAGAAUAAAAAAAAUUUGAACAAAGCUAGAUAGAUUAAUUAUACAAUUACCGAGCCACCAAUAGGCUCUCUUAGGACAAUGUGUUACAGAAAUUACUCUAACUCCCUUGGUAUUUGCUCAACCACUUCAAUCCCAAUGGGGUCAUCGUUCAUUAAACUAACCAUAUAAUUAGAUGUGAAUGAGACAUCUUUAUUAUAGGAAUGAUCCACAUUCACUGUCCUGUAGUACAAACUGAAUCUACAAGCUAACGAUAGAAACAUAAACCAAAAUAUAUAGUACAUUGUUUGAUUAAAAUUGAAAACAUGGUUCAUAUUUGUCCAUUGCAAUGUUCAGAUGUUCAAUAACAUGCAAAAGAGAUAUAUAGUCUAAUGACAGCUUCAAGUUUAUCUAAGCAAAUACACAUAUAUCAACCAAAACUUCCCACAGAAACUCAAAUUUAAGUACUAAUAAGUUCAUAAAACAAGUUAAACGAAAGAUUACAUCAAGGGAAAAAGACAAUCCAGCCAAGUAACUAUACCGAUACUCAUAUUUAAUCGAACUCAUAAAGCGAUAACCGCUUGUCGUUUGUGCUUGAGGAAUGUCUGAAGCUCUUUAUAACCACUCCUGUAAUGGUCCAGACUGAAUGUAAGCUGUCUUAUUACCUCUCUUUUCUCUUCUGACACAUCUAAGAUCAUGUUCCUUUGCUUAUCCACUUCCUUCUCAAGGUCCUUUAUCUUCAAUUUCAACUCAUCUUCUAGAUUCUUUGUUAGCUGCAUAUGUUCCUUGCUUAAUUGUUGUAAAUAGUCCUCCAUUUGUCUGAUCUGUAAAUCACGAGAACGAACCUCGGCUACGAGAUUGUUUACUGUUGCAGUAACACAAUCUACGAGAUUAAUUCUAACAUUUUUGUGAGGCUAAACCAUAAUUUUACCAUAUAUUAACUUAAUAUUUUAUAAAAUUUAGGAGAUUAAAGCAACAAUUAGAAAGAUAUAAAUCCCAACGUGUUUAAGCACAUAUUUUUUCUUUAAUUUAAAAUUAUGAAAAAAUUAUAAAUAAAAGUUAAUUAUAUUAUACUCUAAAGUCUAUUCUUUGUCAUAAAGUAUUCAACUUUUGCAGCCGACAAUAUUAAGAAAAAAAAUUUGUUCCUCCAACAAUCACUUUCUUUUAUAAUUAAAAUUUGAAUUUUGAUUUUCAAAGCCCUUAAUAUUUCAAACAAGUUGGUGGAAAUUUCCAAAUCGUCCCUUUAUUAUAAAGAUUUGUUUGAUUUAGUCUCUAUAUUAUUAAAUGAAUUGAUUUAGUCCAUGUACUAUUAAAAAGUAUCAAAUAAGGGAAAAUUGGAAAAUACUUAAAUAUUUACUAUAUAAAAAAUGUCAUUUAUUGUUUCGUAUUUUUAAAUUUUUUACGGUUCUGUAAAUGAAAUCUUGUGUUUUGAAAAAAAAAUAUUUUCAAGACAUUUUUUAUAUUGUUAACUUUGUUACAAAUUAGACAGACUUAAAUUUUUUUGAUAGUAUAGAGACUAAAUUUAUUUAUUUAAUAAUAGAAAUUUUAAUUUGGUCCAGUCCCUAUAAUACAAGGAACUCACGGGACAAACACAAUAAAUUUGAUGCUAACCUAUGAAGUUUUGAAAAUUAAUGUAUGCAAUUAUAAAAUGAUACAUGCGUAGUUGACUAUGUCAAAAUGGGAAGUAAAUGGGAUAAAUCUCAAAAUUAUACAUACAUGAACUUUAUUUUGGUGCAAUUAUAGACGUGAAACGCUAUUGUGAUUCAAAUGUAUAUUUGAAACUUUAAUUUUGAUUUAAUCAUACACAUUUAAAGAAAUAAAGUCAAGUUUUAUUUUUAUAUUGUAUAAAAAUAAUAUUUAUGUAUGCAAUAUAUAAACAUAAAAUGAUGUUAUAUCAAUAAUCAUGUUAAUAAUUUAAAAGAAUAGGAUCAAAUUAAAAUUUCAUGUAUAUAAUUGCACAUUAAAUCAUAGUUCGUAUAUAAUUUUGAAAUUUAUCCAUAAAUAAAUUAGUUAAAUUUUUAAUUGGAUUUAACCUCUCUUUUGCACAUAUUAUAAUUUAUUCAUGGAGCUUCACAAAAAAGCAUAAUCGUAAUCAAAAUCAAGAUUAUGGAGUUUAAAAUGAUAAAGUUUUUUGAAAAUCGUAAUAUUUUAGAUUUAAAUUUCAUCAUUAGUAGGUUUGAUGUUUUUAGUCUAUUAGUUCAUGAUACUAACUUGAUUAGAAAUUUUCAGUUGGAAUAAUUUGUCCACUUCAAUUGUACAAACUAUUAAAAAAACCCAUAAAUAUAUAAAUAUAUAUAUAUAUAUUCAACCAUAAAUUUAUAUCGAUUCAUAGAUCAAUCGAUCCAACUUCUUAUUUCGAACUGAUACCUCAAUUAGAAGUGUCCAUGAGACUUGCAAUAUACAUGGGGCAUCUGCACAGCUCACUCCCGAUCAAGCAAGCAUCGAAUUCUUCGAAACCGUGCAGCAUUAGUAAGGAGACAUUUUUUCAAAGUGAGGCAUAAGAAAAUUCGGAUUCUUUGUAGUCCCUCAAAUCUCCGUGCAAGGAACCAUACAGGAUCAUGUUGGUUCCAAGAGAUCUUCCUUAGUUCCUUAUAUGCACUCUUAACAGUGAAGUCACCAUCAAAUGAUUGCGAAGUAGGUCCCACUUCCAUGAGUUGUCAUUCAUCAUAUAGUGCGCACCUUCAUGAAGCAGGGAAAGCGCUAUCGAGGGCGGAACUUGAAGGUGUUCUGGUUUUUGUUGAACCUUUUUUUGUUUCAUGUCAAUGGGACCUUAUCCAAUUGGCAAUGGUGGGAAAACAAAGUUUGCCAUUUUGAUCCAUUUGUAAAGGCAAGUGACUUGGCAGUGGGGGUUUCACAGUUGAGUGGCAAGGGCUAUGGAGGCGGAAGCUUCUUUUUGUCUGUUUUUUUUUAGUUUUAUGUAAUUUCGUUGAUAGGAUAGAAUGGUUAAAGUGAUAUGUUCAGGGUGAGAAUCCAACUUGAGUAACUGUUCACCUGCACUGAAUAACUUGUAUGAUGAAUGACGAAUGAUAUAAAUGAGGUGGGGAAGAAUUUUAUUUAUAGUAAAGCUCUAUAGAUCCAAGAUUGAAUUACAUUAUGAUUCGAAUUUAAUCUUAUUUAUGACAUUGAUCCCUAAAGAAUUUAAAUUUUCUAUUAUCUUAUCCUUGAGAUUAUAAAACUACACUAGUAAAAUUCAAAUUACCCAAGCAUCUACAACUGCACCAUGUUUCAAGUAGGAUGGGCAUUCAGAAUGUUUCAAAAAUAGGAUCAAUCUCGAUAGCUUAAGCAAGCCUAAUUUAAUCAAAUGAUCUCUUUAAGUUAUUAUGUGCACAUUGAAUUUUAUUAUAAUAAAACAUAAAUUAAGUCAAUUAUAUUUUUAUAAUAAAAAUAGAUAGUGGAGAAGUGAACAAAGAAAGAAGAAUAAAAACAAAACAUUAUUUCUUCUUUAUGGUCUUGCAUGCCGAAAUGGUGAGGGAAGAAAAGGGAUUUUCGUCUAUUGUUGUUUAAGUUUGGAAGCUCAAUUUGGUUGGUAUGUUUUGUUCUUUUUUAUUAAAUUUUAUAUUUUUGGAAUCUUAAAAUCAUGUAGUAGUUUAUUCAUGUUGAAAAUUUGAGAAUUAAUGAUACUUGUGAAAAUUGUCAUCGUUGAGAUUCAAUUUCUUAGUGUUAUUUUGUUGGGUUGAAGUUAUUGAUGUAUGUAUGUUUAGUAUGGUAGAUAUUGUAUAUGGUUGAUAUUUUAAGUUGUAUGGAAUUUGGCUCUUUUGAAAGUAAAUGAUUCAGUUCAAUUUGUUGACUUGAAAUAUGUAGGAUAUGGCAUUUGAAAUUUAUGAUUCCUAAUUGUGGAGCAAGAUAAAUGUAUGUAUGACUUGAUCAAGGUUGAAUGUCUUUGUAUGUGAGUGUUUGAAAUGUGGUGCCAACGAGGGCUAUAUUGGUUAGGCUCUUAGAUUGUAUGGAAUUGACAUGUUUUGAGAUGUAUUUGAUGACAUUUAUAGUUUGGUUAUAGGCUUGGUUCGGUAGCCAAGAUAGGUGUGAAAAUUGCCUUGUUUUGGAAGCAAAAAUUGGUGUACAUUGCCAGGGACACUGGCUGUACACGGCCUACCCACAUGGUCGUGUGUCUUAAUGAUUUUAGGUGCAGGUCAUACACGGUCUAAGACACAGCUAGUGACAUGGUCGUGUGACCCAAUAUCAAAUGCACACAUGGGCAGGCGCACGGCCGUGUGACCUUAAUUCAAAUAUACACACGGGCGGACACACGGUCGUGUGUCUCGACUUCAAAUGUCCACACAGUCUGGGCUGUGACACAUGGCCGUGUGUCCCUUAUUUUCAAAAUUUUCAUCUUUUUCCUAACUUUUCUGUUUUGUUUCAAAUUGGCCCCAGAAUGUUUCCAAUUUAUUUUUAGGACUCCGUAAACUCAGUUCAAGGCCCAUAAGUGUAUGUUUAUUGUGAAUUGAUUGUGAAUUGAUUAAUUGUAAUUAUAAUGAAUAAUUGUUUUUAAGUAGUGUUAAAUGUUUGAAAUGUUAUCGUACUAUUCCGUGACUCCAAUCCGGUGACAGACACUGGUUUCUUAAGUUUAAAUUGUCUUUUAUAAAUUUUAGAUAAAUGCAUGAAAAAUACAAAAGCACUCUAUAGUAAUAUUUAUUAAUCAUUAAAACUUGAUUUUUGAAUACUUUUCUUGAUCGAGUUAGUGUUGAGCUAAGUCAUGAUACUAUCUAAAUUCAUUAUGCCAAUUCAACCAUACACUUAAAUAAUAGUAUAAAUGUUAUUGUUUAUGAAAAGAUCAAAAUAUCAAUGUUGAAUCCCAAAAUGAAAUCAACGGUUAAGAUUUGAAAUAUAAGUAGAGAUGGUAAUAGAGUGGGGCAGAAUGGUUUUUUGUCCACCUGACUUGAUACAUCUCUAACAUAAUCUGACUUUGAUCCAACUCAAAAUUAAAUAUUAAUUUACUUAUCUUGAACCUAACUCGAAAAAUCAAAGUUAUACCCAAUUUCGAACGAUAUACCACUACUUUUAAUUGUUUUUAUAUAUUUUUAUUAAAAUAGAGUAAAAGUUUUAAAGUUUUUAAUGAUAACAUUACUUUUUUUUGUAGUUAUAGUUAUGCUAGGGAAAAUAAUUUUAUAAAUUGUUAUUAUCAUAUAUUAUAAUCUAAUAUUAUAUAUAAAUGGUUAUUUUGGUAAUUACGGGGCAAAUUUUUCUAAAUCGGAGAAAGAAUUGUAUGAAAUUGUGAUUCUACCUCAUCUGUAUCCUUUUCUAAUACGAAAAUGACAAAUCAGAAUUUAAGAUCUAAUCCAUGUACUUUAAAAGUUAAAAUUUCAAUUAUCCUACUUCAACAAUUUAAAAAUUCUAGUUCAAUUAUUAUUAUUUGUAAUUUUUUUUGUCAAAAAAAAAUUAAACUUAACAUGUUUAUUUUUUUUAUCAAUCAUAUGAAAUAUUAUAUGAUGGCAAUCUAAUUAACAUGCCAAAUUGGAAAAUUUUGAUGGAAAUUAUUAACAAUAUUAAAGAUUGGAAUGAAAUUUUUAAAUCAGAAAAGUAAAAGAACCAAAUCUCAAAUAUUAUCUAAGUCAAAGGACUAACAACAUAUUUUCACAAAAGAAAUUGAUAGACUAAUUUAGGUUUUAGACUAAGCAAAUUUUACAUAUCCAACUAUAUUCAACUUGUAUAAAUAUGGAAGCUAGCAUAUAAGGAUAAUAAUUUUUCAUGGAAUCUAAGGACAAAAAAAAAUUAACAUUCUAGCAUGUAAGAAAAAGAAAUAAGCAAAUCAUAUAAAUUUUAUUACCAUAUAUUUACGGUUCAAACCUCACCAUUUUCAACCUAAAAACAUUACAUUGUUUAAACACACAAUUAAAAAGCUAAAUAAAAGUAGCAAUCAUUAACAACAACACACUGUUCUUUUGUGAAACUGAAGCAACAAUUGUCAGCAUUUAUCACAGCAUCGCUGAUUUUCUACAUUUCCAAUGAGCAAUAUAGUUGCAUCCUGGUUCUGCACAUUCAAGAGAAAGAUCUUCACAACGCUCACCACAUUCAAUACAUUCAGGGUAGUAAGGAAAUUUCUUGACAAAAGUGAGAGGGUGUGGAUGUUCUCCUUCAUUGUAGAUGCUCCCGAGUUUGAUCAAUGGAUAUUCUCCAAGAACGCAAUCCACGUGAGCAGAAGUGUCACAAGUUUCACAAUAGUAAAACCAGUUCUUUGGAUCCCUUUCUUUCUCACAAAUGUCACAAUAAUGAUAUUUUGCAUAAUCAUUAAUCUUGUCAUAAGUGAGUGCAAGAAGAUGUUUAUCGCAUUUGUGUCUAACUCUAAUUGGUCGCAGAACACACCAUGGGCAUAAAUGAAUAUUACAAUCCUUACAACGAAAAGGGCAAACGACAUCCUUCCCACAAGCACUACACUGCCCCUGAUAAUUAUAAUAGAGAAGAAGAGGGUGUUUAUGCCAUGGAAUUUUUACAACAUCUUGGAGACUUAGAGCAAAACAUCGAAGGCAUAUCGGACUUCCACAUUCAUUACAUUUAUAAGAAAAUCCAUUAGAAAGGUACAUGCAUAGACCACAUUUGAACAUGCAGGCUGAAGUAAGGAUUAAGGGUUUUAAUCCAGAAUAAAAUUCCGUUUCUCCACAAGCAUGUUUCGAAAAAAGCUUCAUCUUAGGCAAUUCAGCACAAGAUUUAUGAAGAAAGAAAUCACAUCGCGAGCAAUGGUAGAACUUAGCGGAGAUCAAUAACAAGCACCCAUCACAACAUUUAUCACCAUGCUCUCUGAUGUUGUCACUUAACAUCAAGUAGUGCAUAUGCUCGCAAUGUUCUAUGAGUGUGGCUUCUCCAGCAUCAUUCGUCUCAAGAACCUCAGUGAUGGAGUUAACAGGUAUAUCAAGAGACUUGUCAGCUUCAUUUUCCUGUGAUACUAUGCAAUACAACUGCUCUUCUUUCAAUGCACAAUCCACAUGUAAUAUAACACUGCAAUCUGCACAGAAGUAACUACCGUGCUCUGUAUGGACAACUUCAUGGCACCAUAUGCAAUUCAAACUUUCAAAAUAUUCCUUGCGAAUGAAAUACGUGUGAAAAACACGAUGAACAUGGAACGCGUGUUCGAUAAUGCGUGGCAAUGAAAUGCAUUUUUUAUGUACCAUAAUACUGCAUGUACCACAUGUAUAGGCAACAUGAUGUCCUUCAGUGCCACAAGCAUCACAAAUGAAUGGAAUUUGUCUCCAAAACAAGGUGAAUGGGUGUUGAUGACUUUUAUCUUUGAUAACUGGUAAUGGCGACGCACAUUCAAUGUGAAUAGCCAACUCACAAGGUGAACAACCAUACACAAAUCCUCUUUGUUGAGUUACUUGGCACACUUUGCAAGCAAGCCGUUCACUAUUAAAUUGCAAAACAAGAGGAUGUUUGCGAUGGCACAAAAGAUCCAUUUUGAGAGGAAGCUCAGCACACCUCUUAUGCAAAUUAAACCCACAAUCAAGAGAGAAGUAUGUAUACAUUGCUAAUGGUUCCCAACACCCAAAGCACUCACCCAGGUUUCCACCAUCGUUUUUAGAGGAAAACGAUGGAUCCUCAAGGGCAACAUGCUCAAGCUCUUUCAAAUUACUUUCAGCAAUGUUAAAUGUUAACAAAGCACAUUUAAUAUGAAAGUACAAGCCACAAGAGCAAUGGUAAAUGAAUUUCUCACAUGUUUCAUCACAUAAAUCACAAACGCACCUUGUGUAAGAAGAUGGUGGAUUCUGCAAAAGCACGAGAGGAUGGUGGCGAUGAAAAGGAUGAUUAAGCUCUAAAGGUGCCUCGGCACAUGUCUUGUGGAGGUAAAACCCACAGCACUCCACGCAGCUAAAACAUGGAGCUGACACCUUCUCCCCACACCUUGAGCAAUCAACAACUCCAUUGCCAUUGCCAAGCAACUGCUCUUCAUUUAACAUUAUUGGAAAUUGGCCAACCAUGCUGCUGUUACAUUUUGUGGUUGAAGUGCAUGCAGCUUGAUGACAUGCUGCAGCACAUAUGCUUGCUGUAACAGCAAGGUUUCUGAUGAAGUUGGUACAGCAUACAGCAAACUCAACAGCAUGCAGGCCAUCAAGACCAAGUCAUGCAGGAGCUGCUGGAACGAGCUGAACUAUUCCUAUUUUGUUCAACUUGUAAUCUUAAGUUAAUGUAAUGUACUUUAGUUCAUUUAGAACUAUGUUAGGUUUAUGAUUGAUGUAUUUUGAUGACAAUUAAGCUGUUAAGUCAGCUUUGUUUAAGUGUGCAAGCUUAGUUUUUCAAGUUUCAAUGUAUUAGUGGUAGUAGGUGAUGAUUAGGUAUCAUUAUGCAGAUUUUGACAAGCAAAUUGCUUGGUUUUAUGUAUUGGCAUUAUGCCAUUGUUCAACUAAUGAAUAGAAUCAGUUUUUGUUCAUCAUUUUUCCUCUCCAUUCUCUUAGCUUUUUCUUUCUUUCUUCUGGCUUGAAUUUCUCUUGUUUGCUCAGCAAGUCUCGAGACUUGGUUGACAAGAUAUUGCUGAGGCUGCUUGAUUCUGUUAUUGCACCAACAAUUGGUAUCUAGAGCCUGUUUCUUAAGGGAUCUGUUACUCAAUUCCAUGGCUUCAUCAAGCUUUUCACCAGCUGCACCUCAAGUCUUCAAUGGAGAAGGCUAUCACAUAUGGGUGGUCAAAAUGAAGACCUACCUGCAGGCUUUCGAUCUGUGGGAGGUGGUCAACUUUGAUGUUGAACCAGAGCCACUUAGAGCUAAUCCAACAGUGGCUCAGAUCAGGCAGCAUGCUGAUGAAAGGACCAAGAGGCACAAAGCUAUGUCUUGCAUCCAAAACUCAGUGUCUGAUGUGAUUUUCACAAGGAUUAUGGCCUGUGAAUCACCAAAACAGGCCUGGGAUAAGUUGCAGGAAGAGUUUCAAGGGACAGAGAGGACAAGGCAGCAACAGUUGUUAAACUUGAGGAGAGAUUUCGAGAAUUUGAAGAUGAAGGAAGAAGAAACUGUCAAGCAAUAUUCUGACAGGAUUAUGGCUGUGGUUAACAGCAUCAGGCUCCUUGGAGAGCAGUUCAAUGAAGCUAGGAUAGUGGAGAAGGUUAUAGCAACUCUGCCUGAGAGGUAUGAGGCAAAAAUCUCAUCUCUCGAGGACUCAAGGGAUCUGUCCACCAUCUCCCUGACAGAGUUGAUCAAUGCUCUAUAUGCUCAAGAGCAGAGGAGAGCAAGCAGACUGGAGGAGCACCAAGAAGGUGCCUUUCAGGCAAGAGCAAAUACUGCCUACAAAGGCAAGAAGGCCUGGAGAGACAAGCCAAAGAAUGAUGCUGCAAGGAGAGAAGGUCAGACUUGCAAGCACUGUAGAAAGGCUGGUCAUUCAGAAGAAAAAUGCUGGUUCAAUCCAGAUGCUGUAUGUCAGCAUUGUAAGAAGAAGGGUCAUGUUGAGAGAGUCUGCAAGAGUAAGACCAAAUCGAGGCAGAAUCAGUUUCAACAGAUGAAAGCUGAGGCUCGAGUAGCAAAGGAGGACAGUGACCAAGAGGAGCAAGUCUUUGCUGUGUCAUGCUCAGCUGCUCAGGAAAGGUCCUCAUCUGGUUGGCUCCUAGACAGUGGAUGCACCAACCACAUGACACCUGAUGCCGCAAUCUUCAAGUCUUUAGACAGAAGCUGCAGAACUAAAGUCAAGAUAGGAAAUGGUCAUUUUAUCCAAGCUGAAGGCAAGGGUGAUGUGCUGAUAUGCACACUUACAGGUACCAAAGUGAUUUCAAAUGUGCUGUUGGUGCCUGAAAUUGACAGAAACCUGCUCAGCAUAGCUCAGUUGCUGGAAAAAGGUUAUUCAGUUGUGUUUAAAGACCACCAGUGCCAAAUCAGUGAUCCAAGUGGAUCCAAACUGAUGGCAGUCCCUAUGGCUGAUAAGAGCUUUGUGGUUGACUGGACAAAAAAGUCAGACAUUGCCUACACAGCCACUUCAGAUGAAUCCAAGCUGUGGCAUCAAAGAUUGGGACAUGCCAACUUCAGAUCGAUGGCUCGAAUGGUCAGAGAGGACCUGGCUGAAAAUUUCAUCAACUCAGUGGACCAUGAUGAUGUAUGUGAUGUAUGUCAGCUAGGAAAGCAGGCCAGACUCCCAUUUCCCUCGAAUCAAGCCUGGAGAGCCUCUGAAAAACUCCAACUGGUGCAUACUGAUGUGUGUGGCCCUAUGAAGACUGAGUCAUUAAGUGGAAACAGGUAUUUCAUACUGUUCAUUGAUGAUUUCUCGAGAUAUUGCUGGAUUUACUUUUUAAAACAGAAAUCAGAAGUGGCCUCAGUGUUUUGGAAGUUCAAGACUGCUUCUGAGACUGAAACAGGCUGCAAGCUGAAGACCAUAAGGUCUGAUAAUGGGACUGAGUACACCUCAGCUCAGUUCCAAGCCUUCUGUGAUAAGGCAGGCAUCAAACAUCAACUUACCAACACAUAUACACCUCAGCAGAAUGGGGUAAGUGAAAGGAAGAAUAGGAGUUUGAUGGAUAUGGCCAGGUGCUUGAUGAUUCAGAAGAAUCUGCCUAAAGCACUAUGGGCAGAAGCAGUUAACACUGCAACAUACAUUCAAAAUAGACUUCCAACCAAGGCUUUGGAUCAAAAGACCCCAUUCGAGGCCUGGUUUAGUUUCAAGCCAUCACUGGCUCAUCUGAAGGUCUUUGGAUGCAUCUGUUAUGCACAUGUACCUGCUGUUAAAAGGGACAAAUUGUCUGAAAGGGCUCGACCUGGUGUUUUGGUGGGGUAUAGCACUGUUAAGAAGGGCUAUAGGAUUUUAGAUCCUUCAACAAACAAAGUGUCAAUAAGCAGGGAUGUGGUAUUUGAUGAGAGGUCAUGUUGGAACUGGGAAAGACAUGAACCUGAAGAAGUUUCUGAAGAACUUGCAGUAGACCAAGCUGAGCCAGACCAAAAUGUCCCUGAAAUGGAUAUAGAUGAUGAACCAGUCAGAGGAACAAGGUCAUUGACUGAGGUUUAUGAAAGGGCUCAUGUAGCCAUAACUGAGCCAAGCAACUUUGAAGAGGCUGAGGCUCAACAAGGGUGGAAGCAGGCAAUGGCUGAGGAGAUCAGCAUGAUUGAGAAGAACCAGACCUGGAAAUUGGUUGAAAGGCCAGUCAAAAGGAAGGUGAUUGGGGUGAAAUGGGUGUACAAAGCCAAGCAGAAUGCUGAUGGUACCUUGAACAAGUUAAAAGCAAGGCUAGUGGUCAAGGGGUUCAGUCAAAGGUAUGGCUUGGACUAUUUGGAGACCUUUGCACCAGUGGCCAGGCUCGACACCAUCAGACUGCUGAUUGCCUUAGCUGCACAGCUCGAAUGGAAGAUUCAUCAACUUGAUGUGAAAUCAGCCUUUCUGAAUGGUUUCUUAGAUGAAGACAUCUAUGUUGAACAACCACAAGGGUUUGAAAUAGCUGGCAGAGAGCAUAUGGUCUACAAAUUGAAGAAGGCCCUAUAUGGCUUAAAACAGGCUCCAAGGGCCUGGUACAGCAGAAUCGAUGGCUACUUGACUGAUCUGGGAUUCAAUCGAAGCAAGAGUGAGCCAACACUAUAUGUCAAGAAGCAAGGGACACAAACACAACUCAUUGUGUCCCUAUAUGUUGAUGACCUGCUGGUGACAGGAGGAGAUCAAGCAGUGCUGGUUAAUUUCAAGACCAAGAUGCAAGAAGUGUUUGAAAUGUCUGAUCUUGGGGAGAUGUCCUAUUUUCUUGGAAUGGAGGUGACUCAAGCACAGAAUGGGAUAUUUUUAAGUCAGAAGAGCUUUGCCACAAAGAUUCUGACCAAGUUCUCCAUGCAAAACAGCAAACCAACUAAAACACCUGUUGCUGUUGGAGAAAAACUAUCGAGCCAAGGAGAUUUUGAGAAGGUAUGUGAAACUACCUACAGGAGUCUAGUUGGUUGUUUGCUAUACUUGACUGCCACUAGACCAGACAUAAUGUAUGCUGUAGGAUUGCUCUCAAGGUUCUUGCAUUGUUGCAAUGAGAAGCAUUUCCAGGCUGCCAAGAGAGUGCUCAGAUAUGUCAAAGGCACUUUGGACUAUGGCUUAAGGUACAGCAGGAAAGGAAAUCUAAAUCUAGUUGGGUACACUGAUAGUGACUGGGCUGGAUCAAUAGAUGACAUGAAAAGCACCUCAGGGUAUGCUUUUAACCUUGGUUCAGCCAUGUUCUGCUGGAGCUCUAAGAAGCAAAGUCUGGUGGCACAAUCUACUGCUGAAGCAGAGUAUGUGGCAGCAGCAAGUGCUGUCAACCAAGCCAUUUGGCUUAGGAAAAUCCUGGCUGAUUUGAAUAUGGAUCAAAUGAAAGCAACAGAGAUCUUCUGUGACAAUCAAUCUGCAGUUGCAAUUGCUAAAAAUCCAGUGUUCCAUGGUAGAACAAAACAUUUCAGCAUCAAGUUACAUGUUGUUCGAGAAAUGGAGCAAGCUCAGGAAAUAAAGCUGAUCCACUGUAAUUCAGAGGAUCAACUUGCUGACAUUUUAACCAAAGCUCUUAGUGUCACAAGGUUUGAAUAUCUAAGAAAGAUGCUAGGUGUUUGCUCCAUGCAAACCAAGGAGGAGUGAUGAAGUUGGUACAGCAUGCAGCAAACUCAACAGCAUGCAGGCCAUCAAGACCAAGUCAUGCAGGAGCUGCUGGAACGAGCUGAACUAUUCCUAUUUUGUUCAACUUGUAAUCUUAAGUUAAUGUAAUGUACUUUAGUUCAUUUAGAACUAUGUUAGGUUUAUGAUUGAUGUAUUUUGAUGACAAUUAAGCUAUUAAGUCAGCUUUGUUUAAGUGUGCAAGCUUAGUUUUUCAAGUUUCAAUGUAUUAGUGGUAGUAGGUGAUGAUUAGGUAUCAUUAUGCAGAUUUUGACAAGCAAAUUGCUUGGUUUUAUGUAUUGGCAUUAUGCCAUUGUUCAACUAAUGAAUAGAAUCAGUUUUUGUUCAUCAUUUUUCCUCUCCAUUCUCUUAGCUUUUUCUUUCUUUCUUCUGGCUUGAAUUUCUCUUGUUUGCUCAGCAAGUCUCGAGACUUGGUUGACAAGAUAUUGCUGAGGCUGCUUGAUUCUGUUAUUGCACCAACAGUUUCUCUUUAGUUUCAUUCUAAUUAAUCUAGUUUAAAAUGGACAAGUUGAUGACAACUUGAUGCAUUAGGUGUUGAAUGACUAGUUUAGGUGGCUUGUUUAUGUGUACAAGCAAUGUUUUAAUAGUCCCAAUGCUGAUUAGUGGAGUUAGGUAGUUGAUUAGGUGAUUACUUGUUUGUUUUACUUAUUGACUGAUAUAUGUAAUGGCUUAAUGCCUUGUUGUAAUGCUAAUGAAAGAUAUCAGCUCUUUUUCAUUCAAUCUUCUUCUCUCUUUCUGUUUUUUCACUUGCUAGUUUCAUCUUUCUGUUUUCUGCUUCCGAGCUUGCUUCUUCACCAAGGCUUGAGACUUACUACUCAAGCAAGACUUGAAACAGCUUGUUGCUGCCUCUUGCACCAAUAAUUGGUAUCAUGAGCCUAUGUCUUACGGGACCAUUGAUUUUGCUUCCCCUGCUUGUUAAAAAGAAAGAAGCUGUCAAAGCGCAAGCAAGUCAUUAAGGACUGCUUGUAGAGAAGAUAAUAUCGGCUCAAACUUAUAAGAUCCCCAAACUAGCUUGAAUAAGCUGAAGGAGGAGUUUAAAGGAAAGGUGUGAGCUUUCCAAAUGUGCAAGCUUAGCAAGAUGUCAAAGCUGCAAGCUUAGCAAAGUGCGAGCCUGAUGAAGACACCUGUUGAAGACAAUAUGCAAAGAUGUGAGUCUGUCAAAGGUGUGAGCUCAGCAACAUGUGGAAGCUCAAUGCGUGUUGUAUAGUUGCAAGCCUCUUGAAGACAGUAAGCAAAGUGUGAGCCUGUCGAAUUGCAAGCCAAAAUGGCAGAAUGAAGGCAAGCAACUAUACUCACGAACUGUUUGUGCAAGAAGAAAAUGAAUUGGUCAGCUUGAAUCAAAGCAUCUAAGAGCUGCCAAGUUCAAAAAACUUGAUGAAUGACUGGUAUUUGCAGCAUGGAGUCCAAGGAGGAGUAUUGGAAAUUGGCCAACCAUGCUGCUGUUACAUUUUGUGGUUGAAGUGCAUGCAGCUUGAUGACAUGCUGCAGCACAUAUGCUUGCUGUAACAGCAAGGUUUCUCUUUAGUUUCAUUCUAAUUAAUCUAGUUUAAAAUGGACAAGUUGAUGACAACUUGAUGCAUUAGGUGUUGAAUGACUAGUUUAGGUGGCUUGUUUAUGUGUACAAGCAAUGUUUUAAUAGUCCCAAUGCUGAUUAGUGGGGUUAGUUGACUAUUUGGUGAUGUAUUUGACUAUAAAUGUAUGUUUUUUCUAGUUGAAUGAAUGAGCUGAAUGAGCUAUCAGCCAUUAGCUCCCUUGCUGCACAUUUGUGAGCAAGUAAAAAUGCUUCUUGCACCUUGCUUCAUGUUCUGUGCUCUUGUUCUCUCUUUUGUUGCUGCCUCUUGCACCAACAAACAUCAACAGUGGAUGUUGAUGCCCAUAGUUCUUUAGCUCUUCCAUUUCUCCUUUCUCUCUGUCUCUUUCGAUGUGGUAGAGAAAGAAAAAUUGAAAUUGAAUAACUCAAAGAAAGCAGAAAAUUAGAAGGGAGAGAUUCCAAAUGUUUAUUUGUAGGAGUCUGUUUGAACUUGCUAUGCUACUUUGCUUCAACAGUGGGUUGCCUAUACCUAUAUAUGUUUGAUCUUCUUUAUAAUUUCCAUGAAUGGGAUGCAAUGGGUUUGAGUGUACUCUAAGUAAAUUAUCAUUUUUUUUCCUUUAUUCUUUGCUUUGUGGAUUAGCUAAUUUUGUGGAUUAGAUAAUGAAUAUUCUGAUAUUGUUUGUGUGUAAAAAAAAAUACGAUAUCAUGAUGAAAGGUAAAGGUAUUUUUACAAGUUACGAAUUUUUCAAUUGAGAAUGAUAUCAAACAAUCAAAUUAUUCUAAAAAAAUUGAAUUAAAUCAUUUAUCUAAUCGAAAAUUAAAAACCUAUUUAAUUUAUUCUGGUGAGAAUAAAAAAAUUUGAACAAAGCUAGAUAGAUUAAUUAUACAAUUACCGAGCCACCAAUCGGCUCUCUUAGGAUAAUCUGUUACAGAAAUUACUCUAACUCCCUUGGUAUUUGCUCAACCACUUCAAUCCCAAUGGGGUCAUCGUUCAUUAAAGUAACCAUAUAAGUAGAUGUGAAUGAGACAUCUUUAUUGUAGGAAUGAUCCAUAUUCACUGUCCUGCAGUACAAACUGAAUCUACAAGCUAAUGAUAGAAACAUAAACCAAAAUAUAUAGUACAUUGUUUGAUUAAAAUUGAAAACAUGGUUCAUAUUUGUCCAUUGCAAUAUUCAGAUGUUCAAUGACAUGCAAAAGAUAUAUAUAUAUAUAGUCUAAUGACAGCUUGAAGUUUAUCUAAGCAAAUACACAUAUAUCACCCAAAACUUCCCACAGAAACUCAAAUUUAAGUACUAACAAGUUCAUAAAACAAGUUAAACGAAAGAUUACAUCAAGGGAAAAAGACAAUCAAGACAAGUAAAUAUACUGAUACUCCUAUUUAAUCGAACUCAAAGCGAUAACCGCGUGUCGUUCGUGCUUUAGGAAUGUCUGAAACUCUUUAUAACCACUCCUGUAAUGGUCCAGACUGAAUGUACGCUGUCUUAUUACCUCUCUUUUCUCUUCAGACACAUCUAAGAUCAUGUUCCUUUGCUUAUCCACUUCCUUCUCAAGGUCCUUUUUCUUCAAUUUCAACUCAUCUUCUAGAUUCUUUGUUAGCUGCAUAUGUUCCUUGCUUAAUUGUUGUAAAUGGUCCUCCAUUUGUCUGAUCCGUAAAUCACAAGAACGAACCUCGGCUACGAGAUUGUUUACUGUUGCAGUAACACAAUCUUUGUCUGUCAUAAGCAUAUCAUAUUUCAAUUUCAUUUUGUCAAGGUUCUUAUUCAAAGCUUCUAUGUGUAUACCUUUCUCAUUAAGUUCUGUCUUCAAUUGAUUGAUCUGACCUUGUAAGUUGGUUUCUUGUACAACAAGCAAGCUUUCGAUUUCCGAAUUUUUGGUCUCACGCUGCCUUAUUUUUUCCUCCAAUACACUUCCAAGCAGGGAAAGCGCUAUCGAGGGCGGAACUUGAGGGUGUUCUGGUUUUUGUUGAACCUUUUUUGUUUCAUGUCAAUGGCACCUUAUCCAAUUGGCAAUGGUGGGAAAACAAAGUUUGCCAUUUUGAUCCAUUUGUAAAGGCAAGUCACUUGGCAGUGGGGGUUUCGCAGUUGAGUGGCAAGGGCUACAGAUGAGGCAGGAAAUACUUUUAUUUAUAGUUGAGCUCCGUAAAUUCAACAAUAUAACAAUAUUAUUACAUUAUCAGUUCGGAUUUAAUCUUAUUUAUAACAUUGAUCCCUAAAGAAUUUAAAUCUUCUAUUAUCUUAUCCUUAAGAUUAUAAAAUUACACUAGUAAAAUACAAGUUACCAAAACUUCUACAAGUGCACAAUGUUUCAAGUAGGAUGAGCUUUCAGAAUGUUUCAAAAAUAGGACCAAUCUCGGUGGCUUAAGUAAACCUAAUUUAAUCAAAUGAUCUCUUUUUUAAGUUGUUAUGUGCACAUUGGAUUUUAUUAUAAUAAAAUAUAAAUUAAGUCAAUUAUAUUUCUAUAAUAAAAAUAGAUAGCGGAGAAGUUAAUAAAAGAAAGAAGAAUAAAAACAAAACAUUAUUUCUUCCUUAUGGUCUUGCAUGCCGAAAUGGUGAGGGAAGAAAAGGGAUUUUCGGCCAUUGUUGUUUAAGUUUGGAAGCUCAGGUUUUGGUUCUUUUUUAUUAAAUUUUAUAUUUUUGGAACUUUAAAAUCAUGUAGUAGUUUAUCUAUGUUGAAAAUUUGAGAGUUAAUGAUAUUUGUGAAAAUUAUCAUUGUUGAGAAAUUUAAAUUCUUGGUGUUAUUUUGUUGAUGUAUGUGUGUGUUGGAUGGUAGAUAUUGUAUAUGGUUGAUAUUUUAAGUUCUAUGGAAUUUGGCUCUUUUUGAAGUAAAUGAUUGAGGUCAAUUUGUUGAGUUGAAAUAUGUAGGAUAUGGCAUUUGAAAUUUAUGAUUCCUAUUUGUGGAGCAAGAUGAAUGUAUGAUUUGGUUAAGGUUGAAUGCCUUUGUAUGUGAUGUUUGAAAUGUGGUGCUAAUGAGGGCUAUGUUGGUUAGGUUCUUAGAAUGUAUGAAAUUGAUAUGUUUUGACUUGUUUUGAGGUGUAUUUGAUGACAUAUAUAGAGUGGUUAUAGGUUUGGUUUGGUAGCCAGAUAGGUGUGAAAUUUGCCCUGUUUUGGAAGCAAAAAUUGGUCCACGUGGCCUGGGGUAUAGGCUGUACAAAGCCUACUCACAAGGCCGUGUGUCUUAAUGAUUUUAGGUGCAGGGCAUACAUAGUCUAAGACACAACCAGCGACCAACAAAUGCACAUACGGGCAGUCACACGGCCAUGUGACCUUAAUUUGAAUAUACACACGGGCGAACACACGGUCGUGUGUCUGACUUUGAAUGUCCACACGGUCUGAGUUGUUACAUACAACCGUGUGUCCCUUAUUUUUCAAAAUUUUCAUCUUUUUUCUAACUUUUCCAUUUUGUUUCAAAUUGACCUCAGAAUAUUUCUAAUUUAUUUUUAGGGUCCCGUAAACUCAGUUUAAGGCCUGUAAGUGUAUGUUUAUUGUGAAUUGAUUGUGAUUUGAUUAAUUUUAAUUAUAUUGAAUAAUUGCUUUUAAGUAGUGUUAAAUGUUUGAAAUGUUAUCGUAAUACUCCGUGACUUCAAUUCGACGACAGGCACUCUUUAGGGGAGUUAAGUUUAAAUUGUCUUUUAUAAAUUUUAUAUAAAUGCAUGAAAAAUACAAAAAGAAACACUCUAUAAUAAUAUUUAUUAAUCAUUAAAAAUUAGUUUUUUAAUACUUUUCUUGAUCGAGUUAGUGUCGAGUUAACCAAUGAUACAGUCUAAAUUCAUGACUCCAAUUCAAUCAUACACUUAAAUAAUAAUAUAAAUGUUAUUGUUUAUGAGAAGAUCAAAAUAUCAAUGUUGAAUCCGAAAAUGAAAACAACGGUUAAGAUUUGAAAUAUAAGUAGAGAUGGUAAUGGAGUGGGGCGGAAUGGUUUUUUGUCCACCCGAACUGAUAUACCUCUAACAUAAUCCGAUUUUGAUCCAGCUCAAAAUUAAAUAUUAAUUUACUUAUCUUGAACCUGACUCGAAAAAUCAAAGUUAUACCCUAUUUCGAUUGAUAUACCAAUACUUUUAAUUGUUCUUAUAUUUUUUUUAUUAAAAUAGAAUAAUAGUUUUAAAGUUUUUAAUGAUAAAAUUACUUUUUUUUUGGUAGUUAUAGUUAUGGUAGGGAAAAUAUUUUUAUAAUUAUCAUAUAUUAUAAUCUAAUAUUAUAUAUAAAUGGUUAUUUUGGUAAUUACGGGGCAAAUUUUUCUAAAUCGGAGAAAGAAUUGUAUGAAAUUGUGAUUCCACAUUAUCUGUAUCAUUUUCUAAUACGAAAAUGACAAAUCAGAAUUUAAGAUUAAAUCCAUGUACUUUAAAAGUUAAAAUUUCAAUUAUUCUACUUCUACGAUUUAAAAAUUCAAUUCAAUUAUUAUAAUUUGUAAUUUUUUGUCAAAAAAUUUAACUUAACAUCAUAUGAAAUGUUAUAUGAUAGCAGUCUAAUCAACAUGCCAAAUUGGAAUAUUUUGAUGGAAAUUAUUAACAAUGUUAAAGACUGGAAUGAAAUUUUUAAAUUAGAAAAGUAAGAUAACUAAAUUCGAAAUUUUAGCUAAGUCAAAGGGACUAACAACAUAUUUUCACAAAAGAAAUUGAUAGACUAAUUUAGGUUUUAGACUAAGCAAAAUUUUCAUUUCCAACUAUAUUCAACUUGUAUAAAUAUGGGAGCUAGCAUAUAAGGAUAAUAACUUUUCAUGGAAUCUAAGGACAAAAAAUAAUUAACAUACUAGCAUGUAAGAAAAAGAAGAAAUAAGCAAAUCAUAUUAAUUUUAUUAUCAUAUAUUUACAGUUCAAACCUCACAAUUUUCAACCUUAAAACAUUACAUUGAUUAAACACACAACUAAAAAGUAUCAAGCUUUAAGAACAACCACAUACUUUUUUUGUGAAACUGAAGCCGCAAUUUUCAGCACCUACCACGGAUUGUUGAUUUUCUGCAUUCCCAAUGAGCAAUAUACUUGCAUUCUGGUUCUGCACAUUCAAGAAAAAGAUCUUCACAAGGUUUACCACAUUCAACACAUUCAGGGUAAUAAGGAAAUUUCUUGACAAAAGUGAGAGAGUGUGGAUGGUUUCCCUCAUUGUAGGUGCUCCCGAGUUUGAUGAAUGGAUAUUUUCCAAGAACGCAAUCCACGUGAGCAGAAGUGUCACAAGUUUCACAAUGAUAAAACCAGUUCUUUGAAUCCCUUUCCUCCUCGCAAAUGUCACAAUAAUGAUAUUUUGUAUAAUCAUUAAUCUUGUGAUAAGUGAGGUUAAGAGGAUGAUCAUCGCAAUUGUGUCCGACUCUAGUUGGUCGCAUAACACAAUUAAGGCAUAAACCAAAGUUACAAUCCUUACAACGAUAUGUGUUACUGAGAUCCGUCCCACAACCACUACACUGCUUUUCAAAAUUAUAAUAAUCAUAAUAGAAAAGAAGAAGGUGUUUAUGCCCUGGAAUUUUUACAGCAUAAGGGAGAGUUGCACAUCGAACGCACCUGUGAAUUCCACAUUCAUUACAUUUAUAAGAAAACCCAUUAGAAAGGUACGUGCAUUGCUCACAUUCGAACAUGCAGUCUGAAGUAAGGAUGAAGGGUUUUGAUCCAGAAAAAAGCUUUCCAACACAACGAUGAUCCCAAAUAAGGUCCAUCUUAGGUAAUUCAGCACAAGAUUUAUGAAGAAAGAAAUCACACCGCAAGCAAUGGUAGAACUUAGCGGAGAUCAAUAACAGGCACCCAUCACAACAUUUAUCACCAUGCUCGCUGAUUUUGUCACUUAACAUCAAGUAGUGCUUAUGCUUGCAAUGUUCUAUGAGUGUGGCUUCUCCAGCAUCAUUCGUCUCAAGAAACUUAGUGAUGGAGUUAACAGGUAUAUCAAGAGACUUGUCAUCUUCAUUUUCCUGUGAUACUAUGCAAUACCACUCCUUUUCUUUUAAUGCACAAUUCACAUGGAAUAUAACAUUACAAUCUGCACAGAAGUAACUACCGUGCUCUGUAUCGACAACUUCAUGGCACCGUAUGCAAUUCAAACUUUCAGAAUAUUCCUUGUGAAUGAAAUACGUGUGAAAAACACGAUGGACAUGGAACACGUGUUGGAUAAUGCUUGGCAAUGAAAUGCAUUUUUUAUGGACCAUAAUACUGCAUGUACAACAUGCAUAGGCAACAUGAUGUCCUUCGGUGCCACAAGCAUCACAAAUGAAUGGAAUUUGUCUCCAAAACAAGGUGAAUGGGUGUUGAUGACUUUUAUCUUCAAUAACUGGUAAUGGCGAUAAACAAUCAAUAUGAAUAGCCAAAUUACAAGUUGAGCAACCAUACAGAAAGCCUCUUUGUUGGGUUACUUGGCAUAUCUUGCAAGAAAGCUGUUCACUAUUAAAUUGCAGAAGAAGAGGAUGUUUGCGAUGGCACACAUGACCCAUUUUGGCAGGAAGCUCAGCACAUUUCUUAUGCAAAUUAAACCCACAAUCAAGAGAGAAGUAUGUAUAAAUUGCUAAUGGUUCCCAACACGCAAAGCACUUACCCAGGUUUCCACCAUCGUUCUUAGAGGAAAACGAUGGAUCCUCAAGGGCCACAUGCUCAAGCUCUUUCAAAUUUCUUUCAGCAAUAUUAAAUGUAAACAAAGCACAUUUAAUAUGAAAUUUCAAGCCACAAGAGCAAUGGUAAAUGAAUUUCUCACAUGUUUCAUCACAGAAAUCGCAAACGCACCUUGUGUAAGAAGAUGGUGGAUUCUGCAAAAGCAGGAGAGGAUGGUGGCGAUGAAAAGGAUGAUUAAGCUCCAAAGGUGCCUGGGCACACGUCUUGUGGAGGUAAAACCCACUGCACUCCACACAGCUAAAACAUGGAGCUGACACCUUCUCCCCACACCUUGAGCAAUCAACAACUCCAUUGCCAUUGCCAAGCAACUGCUCUUCAUUUAACAUCAACAGUGGAUGUUGAUGCCCGUAGUUCUUUAGCUCUUCCAUUUCUCCUUCCUCUCUGUAUCUUUCGAUGUGGUAGAGAAAGAAAAAUUGAAAUUGAAUAACUCAAAGAAAGCAGAAAAUUAGAAGGGAGAGAUUCCAAAUGUUUAUUUGUAGGAGUCUCUUUGAACUUGCUAUGGUACUUUGCUUCGACGGUGUGUUGCCUAUACCCAUAUAUGUUUCUUCUUUAUAAUUACUAUGAAUGGGAUGCAAUGGGUUUGAGUGUACUCUAAGUAAAUUAUCAAUUUUUUUCCUUUAUUCUUUGCUUUGUGGAUUAACUAAUUUUGUGGAUUAGAUAAUGAAUAUUCUGAUAUUGUUUGUGUGUAAAAAUAUAAGAUAAUAAGAUGAAAGGUAUUUUUAUAGGUUACGAGUUUUUCAAUUGAGAAUGAUAUCAAACAAUCAAAUUAUUCUAAAAAAAAUUGAAUUAAACCAUUUAUCUAAUCGAAAAUUAAAAGCCUAUUUAAUUUAUUCUGGUGAUUAGAAUAAAAAAAAUUUGAACAAAGCUAGAUAGAUUAAUUAUACAAUUACCGAGCCACCAAUCGGCUCUCUUAGGAUAAUCUGCUACAGAAAUUACUCUUAACUCCCUUGGUAUUUGCUCAACCACUUCAAUCCCAAUGGGGUCAUCGUUCAUUAAACUAACCAUAUAAUUAGAUGUGAAUGAGACAUCUUUAUUAUAGGAAUGAUCCACAUUCGCUGUCCUGCAGUACAAACUGUUGGAACACUGGCAGCAACAACCAAACAAUGAAACACUAAGAGCAUAAGCUCUUCAAACAGCAAGCAGAAACACAAAGCAUCAAGAGCAUAAGCUCUCGGUUAACAGGCAGAAAAAAGAAAAAGAAAGAACAAUGGCAGCAGCUCUUAGAAAAAGAACAAAACAGAGAACAAAGGAGGAAGAAACAAAAAUAAUUUACUUGCUCACAAACGUGCAGCCUAGUAACUUUAAAAACAUUUAUAGCCAACCACAUCAGUUAUUACUACCUAAUACCACUAAGUAGCCUAGUAACUUUAAAAACAUUGCUUGUACACAUGGAUAAGCUGACUUAUCAGCUCAACCAACCCAUCAAAACAUCAACAUCAAAGUUCAUUCUCAACCAAACUAAAUUACAGAAUCAUCAUAGUACCAUGCAUUUUAACAAAAACAUAAUAGCAGCAUGGUUGGCCAUUUUUAACACAAACUGAAUCUACAAGCUAAUGAUAGAAACAUAAACCAAAAUAUAUAGUACAUUGUUUGAUUAAAAUUGAAAACAUGGUUCAUAUUUGUCCACUGUAAUGUUCAGGUGUUCAAUAACAUGCAAAAGAUAUAUAUAUAUAGUCUAAUGACAGCUUCAAGUUUAUCUAAGCAAAUACGAAUAUAUCACCCAAAACUUCCCACAGAAACUCAAAUUUAAGUACUAAUAAGUUCAUAAAACAAGUUAAACGAAAGAUUACAUCAAGGGAAAAAGACAAUCCAGACAAGUAACUAUACCGAUACUCAUAUUUAAUCGAACUCAUAAAGCGAUAAACGCUUGUCGUUUGUGCUUGAGGAAUGUCUGAAGCUCUUUAUAACCACUCCUGUAAUGGUCCAGACUGAAUGUAAGCUGUCUUAUUACCUCUCUUUUCUCUUCUGACACAUCUAAGAUCAUGUUCCUUUGCUUAUCCACUUCCUUCUCAAGGUCCUUUAUCUUCAAUUUCAACUCAUCUUCUAGAUUCUUUGUUAGCUGCAUAUGUUCCUUGCUUAAUUGUUGUAAAUGGUCCUCCAUUUGUCUGAUCUGUAAAUCACGAGAACGAACCUCGGCCACGAGAUUGUUUACUGUUGCAGUAACACAAUCUUUGUCUUUCAUAAGCAUAUCAUAUUUCAAUUUCAUUUUGUCAAGGUUCUUAUUCAAAGCUUCUAUCUGUAUACCUUUCUCAUUAAGUUCUGUCUUCAAUUGAUUGAUCUGACCUUGUAAGUUGGUUUCUUGUACAGCAAGCAAGCUUUCGAUAACUGGUAAUGGCGACAGACAAUCAAUGUGAAUAGCCAACUCACAAGGUGAACAACCAUACAAAUAUCCUCUUCCUUGAGUUACUUGGCAUAUUUUGCAAGCACGCCGUUCACUAUUAAAUUGCAAAACAAGAGGAUGUUUGCGAUGACACGAAUGAUCCAUUUUGAGAGGAAGCUCAGCACACCUCUUAUGCAAUUUAAACCCACAAUCAAGAAAGAAGUAUGUAUACAUUGCUAAUGGUUCCCAGCACACAAAACACUUACCCAGGUUUCCACCAUCGUUUUUAGAGGAAAACGAUGGAUCCUCAAGGGCCACAUGCUCAAGCUCUUUCAAAUUUCUUUCAGCAAUAUUAAAUGUAAACAAAGCACAUUUAAUAUGAAAGUCCAAGCCACAAGAGCAAUGGUAAAUGAAUUUCUCACAUGCUUCGUUACAGAAAUCGCAAACGCACCUUGUGUAAGGAGUGUAAGGUGGAUUCUGCAGAAGCAGGAGAGGAUGGUGGCGAUGAAAAGGAUGAUUAAGCUCCAAAGGUGCCUCGGCACAUUUCUUGUGGAGGUAAAACCCACAGCACUCCACACAGCCAAAACAUGGAGCUGACACCUUCUCCCCACACCUUGAGCAAUCAACAACUCCAUUGCCAUUGCCAAGCAACUGCUCUUCAUUUAACAUCAACAGUGGAUGUUGAUGCCCAUAGUUCUUUAGCUCUUCCAUUUCUCCUUCCUCUCUGUCUCUUUCGAUGUGGUAGAGAAAGAAAAAUUGAAAUUGAAUAACUCAAAGAAAGCAGAAAAUUAGAAGGGGGAGAUUCCAAAUGUUAAUUGGUAGGAGUCUCUUUGAACUUGCUAUGGUACUUUGCUUCAACGGUGGGUUGCCUUUACCUAUAUAUGUUUCUUCUUUAUAAUUACUGUGAAUGGGAUGCAAUGGGUUUGAGUGUAUGCUAAGUACAUUAUCAAUUUUUUUUCCUUUAUUCUUUGCUUUGUGGAUUAGAUAAUGAAUAUUGAUGGCGAAAGUGUUCUGAUAUUGUUUGUGUAAAAAAAUAAGAUAAUAUGAUGAAGGUAUUUUGACUGGUUACGAAUUUUUCAAUUGAGAAUGAUAUCAAACAAUCAAAUUAUUCUAAAAAAAUUGAAUUAAAUCAUUUAUCUAAUCGAAAAUUAAAAACCUAUUUAAUUUAUUCUGGUAUUUAGAAUAGAAAAAUUUGAACAAAGCUAGAUAGAUUAAUUAUACAAUUACCGACCCACCAAUCGGCUCUCUUAGGAAUGAGAAUGAGACAUCUUUAUUAUAGGAAUGAUCCACAUUCACUGUCCUGCAGUACAAACUGAAUCUACAAGCUAACGAUAGAAACAUAAACCAAAAUAUAUAGUACAUUGUUUGAUUAAAAUUGAAAACAUGGUUCAUAUUUGUCCAUUGCAAUGUUCAGAUGUUCAAUAACAUGCAAAAGAUAUAUAUAUAUAUAGUCUAAUGACAGCUUCAAGUUUAUCUAAGCAAAUACGAAUAUAUCACCCAAAACUUCCCACAGAAGCUCAAAUUUAAGUACUAAUAAGUUCAUAAAACAAGUUAAACGAAAGAUUACAUCAAGGGAAAAAGACAAUCCAGACAAGUAACUAUACCGAUACUCAUAUUUAAUCGAACUCAUAAAGCGAUAACCGCUUGUCGUUUGUGCUUGAGGAAUGUCUGAAGCUCUUUAUAACCACUCCUGUAAUGGUCCAGACUGAAUGUAAGCUGUCUUAUUACCUCUCUUUUCUCUUCUGACACAUCUAAGAUCAUGUUCCUUUGCUUAUCCACUUCCUUCUCAAGGUCCUUUAUCUUCAAUUUCAACUCAUCUUCUAGAUUCUUUGUUAGCUGCAUAUGUUCCUUGCUUAAUUGUUGUAAAUGGUCCUCCAUUUGUCUGAUCUGUAAAUCACGAGAACGAACCUCGGCCACGAGAUUGUUUACUGUUGCAGUAACACAAUCUUUGUCUGUCAUAAGCAUAUCAUAUUUCAAUUUCAUUUUGUCAAGGUUCUUAUUCAAAGCUUCUAUGUGUAUACCUUUCUCAUUAAGUUCUGUCUUCAAUUGAUUGAUCUGACCUUGUAAAUUGGUUUCUUGUACAACAAGCAAGCUUUUGAUUUCCGAAUUUGUGGUCUCACGUUGCCUUAUUUUUUCCUCC
RNAcentral lists this long non-coding RNA (37143 nucleotides) under Gossypium barbadense (sea-island cotton). RNAcentral describes it as "long non-coding RNA (GBAR_LNC022122)". The record is from RNAcentral. Lineage: Eukaryota; Viridiplantae; Streptophyta; Magnoliopsida; Malvales; Malvaceae.